AUGAAACGCGAUCAUGAAAGAAAUAACUUGAAGAUGCACUUGAGGAAGCGCCCGAAGGUGUGCUCGAAGAUGCACUCGAGGAAGCGCCCGAAGGUGUGCUCGCAGAUGCACUCGAGGAAGCGCCCCAAGGUAUGCUCGCGGUCGUGGAUGCGCUCGCGGAUGCACUCGAAGACAUUGUUGUGUAUGGAGUUUGCAAGCUCUCUGGCUGCAGGGUGGAACUACCUGCAUACAUAUAUGAAAGGGGAAAGAAUGAUGCUCUAUCCUAUCAUGUUCCUUAUCAUUCCAUGCCUCGCAAAUAUCUAUACCAUGCAUUAA
This 315-nucleotide ribosomal RNA is filed under the name Triticum aestivum (bread wheat). RNAcentral's name for it is "partial small subunit ribosomal RNA". Lineage: Eukaryota; Viridiplantae; Streptophyta; Magnoliopsida; Poales; Poaceae. The record is from RNAcentral.